Molecule: ribosomal RNA, 468 nt
Filed under: uncultured bacterium
Lineage: Bacteria
Description: partial 16S ribosomal RNA
Rfam family: Bacterial small subunit ribosomal RNA
Source: RNAcentral
GACGAACGCUGGCGGCGUGCUUAACACAUGCAAGUCGAACGGAAAGGCCCUGCUUUUGUGGGGUGCUCGAGUGGCGAACGGGUGAGUAACACGGGAGUAACCUGCCCUUGACUUUGGGAUAACUUCAGGAAACUGGGGCUAAUACCGGAUAGGAGCUCCUGCAGCAUGGUGGGGGUUGGAAAGUUUCGGCGGUUGGGGAUGGACUGGCGGCUUAUCAGCUUGUUGGUGGGGUAGUGGCUUACCAAGGGUUUGACGGGUAGCCGGCCUGGGAGGGUGACCGGCCACAUGGGGACUGAGAGACGGCCCAGACUCCUACGGGAGGCAGCAGUGGGGAAUAUUGCACAAUGGGCGGAAGCCUGAUGCAGCAACGCCGCGUGCGGGAUGACGGCCUUCGGGUUGUAAACCGCUUUCGCCUGUGACGAAGCGUGAGUGACGGUAAUGGGUAAAGAAGCACCGGCUAACUACGUG